RNAcentral lists this long non-coding RNA (259 nucleotides) under Homo sapiens (human). RNAcentral's name for it is "HSALNT0007232". Lineage: Eukaryota; Metazoa; Chordata; Mammalia; Primates; Hominidae. The record is from RNAcentral.
CGGCAGCAGGGCUCCUGGAAGUCCUGCUUCUCAUUACUACUGUGGACUGGAGCCUCCCCAGAGCUCCCUGGGGUCCUUGGCCUGGGUGAAGAUGGAUGAAGAUCAGAUCCAGCAGCUGUGGGUAGAGGAGGGUCCAGGAAGCAGGCACAAAGAGAGGCCUCAACUGUCAGAACAUGUAAUAAACAUAACCAGCCAGAGGACUGAGGGGAGGCAGAAGGCACACAGUUAACCACUGCAGCAGAAAGUAGCAGAAAUGAAG